GUUGUGGCGCAGUGGUAGCGCAUCUGCUUCGCAUGCAGGUGGUCGUCGGUUCAAUCCCGACCAAGUCCA
This 69-nucleotide transfer RNA is filed under the name Pseudocercospora fijiensis CIRAD86. Its description in RNAcentral is "tRNA-Ala (CGC) (tRNA-Ala-CGC-1-1)". It matches the Rfam family "tRNA". From Rfam's summary of the family: Transfer RNA (tRNA) molecules are approximately 80 nucleotides in length. Their secondary structure includes four short double-helical elements and three loops (D, anti-codon, and T loops). Further hydrogen bonds mediate the characteristic L-shaped molecular structure. tRNAs have two regions of fundamental functional importance: the anti-codon, which is responsible for specific mRNA codon recognition, and the 3' end, to which the tRNAs corresponding amino acid is attached (by aminoacyl-tRNA synthetases). tRNAs cope with the degeneracy of the genetic code in two manners: having more than one tRNA (with a specific anti-codon) for a particular amino acid; and 'wobble' base-pairing, i.e. permitting non-standard base-pairing at the 3rd anti-codon position. Lineage: Eukaryota; Fungi; Ascomycota; Dothideomycetes; Mycosphaerellales; Mycosphaerellaceae. The record is from RNAcentral.